GCUUAACUGACUGAGCCACCCAGGUGCCCGAAAUGUUUUAUUUCUUAAACUGAGGAGCACAUACAUGAGUUAGUUAAUUUAUAUUCUAUACUUUGUGUUUUCUCAAACAAUUCGUAAAUCAACGAUAUGUGGAAGCCAGUUUUCUCAUACAGCAGCGUUACAUGGGUGAGACAGGGGAGGCACCAGACUUAGUCCCCCUCCUUGAGCCAUCCUGCUAGUUUGGCAGUGAUGGGAAAUCUGUGGCUCUCAGAUUUGGCCACGGCAGGGUCCAAAUGAAUCUGUAGUAUCUCUGGGGCUGCACCCAGGGGCCAUGUUUAUUCUGAGGUUCCAAGAGAAAGAGGGAAUAAAUGCCAUCACAGUGAAGAGGUGAGAUAAUCGAGGGAAAUCUUUGGGUGGUUUUCGUGAACAUCUACUUAAGUGCCAUGUUUGGCAUCCAUUCUGUCUAAACCAACCCCCGCGGCCGCCCAGCACACAGGAGAGUGUAUUUGGUUCUGUGCCUCAAACACAGCUUAUUUUGUAUAGGUACUUGUUCCUAGUCAACUCGGGUCAUAAAGGCACUCAGAAUCUCCUAGAAAAAGGCAUAUGUAGGAAAUGUUAAGGCAGGUUUACAGCAAACGUAGGUCAGGAGAUGCUAGGAGAGGAUGACAUCGUUCCUCGGGGAAAGACCUUUUAGCCUUUCUGUUUGGAUUUCUGGCACGUUUUCAUUCCUCCGUGAGGUGGGCUAAAGUGCUCUAUUUUAGUUACAACCCCCUGCCUCUGAAAGCGAGUGAAUAACGCAUUUAUAAGCUGGUCUGGCUUUCGUACCUCUCCCUGACCUCCCUCCCCCUCUUCACAUUUAGUGAUGUUUAGAGUUUGCUAAACACACCAUGCUGUUCUCUGGGCCUGGAACCCACCACCCCACCCACAGUCCUUCUCUGUCGUGAAGCUCCUCCUGUGUGAAGACUCUCCUCCCACCCCUCCACAGGAGAGGAGUCUGGCUGUGUCUCCUGGGGGCCCUCCUCCUGCUAAAACGCAGCUGCGCCAUUUUCCUUAACACACAGUAUGGUAGUUACUGCUCGUGCGUCCAUCCCCCCGCUGCGAUGUUGCGCUCCUUCACGGCAGAGACCCUGUGUUAUUUAACUUUCUACCCCCGGAGCCUAGCAUCCUCUCUUUUGCUGUAGGCCUACCAUCCACUCUUUUCUCCUUAAAAUGAUCUGUUGACACCCAUGCAGAAUUCAGUUGUAGGCCAAGAAGCAAGGCAAGAGAGGUGGGGUAUACCAAAGAGGAGGAAACAGACACUAGCUGGCAUAAGAGGCAUAAUUCCAUGCAUUCGCGGAACUUCAGCUGACGCUGUGCAGUUUGUGAAAAGUAAACCACAGCUUACACAAAGGCUUGAGGUGCAGAGAAGGCAGGGGUCAGCGAUAACAAAGCUCCUGGUACCUCUUCCUUCCCUUCAGCUGUGACCCUCUUCCGCUCCCUUUUUUUUUUUUUGGUCUCCUAACCUGGUCUGGUCUGGAAUCUCCUGAAUUGUCAACAGCUAGUUAUUCCAUGUGUGUUAUGCCCUGAAUCCUGUUCUGAAUACAACGCUAGUAGGUUCCACUAAUUAAUUAAAUUGUACUUCAUAGACUUGGAGUCAAGGCUCUUGAAUACAAGAUGCAAAUUUAUGCAACAUAUGCAAAUCACUCAUGUUCUCAAAUUCCAUGAACAAAAUCUGGUAGCCUUGAGAUAAAAAAGCCCCUGCCAAGCAUCAUCUCUUCUAAUUAUUUCUUAAUUCCACCCCCCCCUCCCCCUUUAACACUGAACUAACACUUUCAGGCUUGGCAGAAACUGGUAGAAAUACAAUGAGAGUUGGUUACAAACAGGAAGUUCCUUAAGGGCAAAGACCCUCUAAUCUACUUUAUGUUCUCCGGGAGCUCCUAGUGCACAGUUGAGCACACAUAGUCUUCCAUAGGGCACGGCACCACUAGUCCUAACUACUAAAUUAUGGAUGAUUUGGAUGAACAGAAGUUGAAGCCCUGCAAGCUUUGUCUAAAACAUGACAUUUAAGUCUAGGAAUAAGGAUACAAUGACCUGCACUGUCUCUAACACGUGGGGUUAUAUAAAUUCAGGUGCAUUAAAAUUAAAUAAAACUAAAAAAAAAAUCAGUUGUCAGAAUAGUCACAUUGACUGACAACUACACGCGGCUAGUGACCUGCCGGGCAGCACAGAUUUGAAUGUUUCUAUUUCCAUACAAAGUUCUAUUGGGCAGUGCUGAUCUAGGCGUGGCUACUCGAAGUCUGAUCCUUGAGCCAGCAGUAUGGCAUCACAUGGGAGCUUACUGGAAAUGCAGGAUCUCGGGCCCUACCCCAGGUCCACUUCAUGAGACUCUGCAUUUUAACAAAAUCCCUAAUUCAUUCAUACGCAUGUCCGAGUGAGAGGCAUCGGUCUAGAUCCAAAAUAGAAAUUGGUGGUUCUCGGAGUUUAGCAUGCAUCAGAAUCAUCUGGAGAAAUUAUUAAACACACAUUGCUGGGCAUCGAUCUGAGAGUUUCUGAUUUAGUAAGUAUAUUCUAGUUUCCCAGUGCUGCCAUAACAAAUUACCACAAGCUGGGUGGUUGAAAACAAAAGAAAUCUAUGCUGUCUCUCAAUUCUGGAGGCUAGAAGUUUGAAAUCAAGGUGUUGGCAAGGCCGUGUUCCCUCUGAAGCCUUCCUUAGGUAGAGAAGAAUCCUUCCUUGCCUCUUCCUAGCUUCUGGGGGUUUGCUGGCAAUCUCUGGUGAUUCUUGGCUUGAAGGUACGUAGCUCUGAUCUCUGAUCCCAUCAUCACACGGCAUUCACCUCUUACGUCUGUGUCUCUGGGUAUGUCUCUCUUCUUAAGAGGACACCAGUCAUAUUGCAUUAAGGGCCCACGCUGCUCCAGUAUGACUUCAACUUAAUUUAGCUAAUUGCAUCUUUAAUGACGUGUUUCAUAUUCUGGUGUACUAGGGCUAAAGGCUUCAACAUAUCUUUUUAAGGGGCAGGGGGCACAUUCAACAGAUAACAGGAAUUCCAGGGUGGGACCUGAUAAUUUGCAUUUGUAACAACUUCCCAGGUGAUCCUGAUGCUGCCCCAGGUAUCACACUUUGAAAACUACAGGUCUAAGAUACCUACAAAAUAGGAGUACAUAGAACUAAAAGUUGCAUUAUACUGUAGAAACAACUGUGUUCAGGAAUUCUAUUUUAAAGCAUACUUGGAAGAUGGUCAUCCAGUCUACGUGUGAAUACUUCCAAUGACAGGGUUCUCAUUACCAGCAGAGCAGCCUUUUCCACAGCUAUUCCUGUGAAAAUUCACACCCUUUGAACUUUCUAAAUAUCUGAUAUAUCUAGACAUCUCUAGAUAUCUGAUAGCAGCUGAAUAUCUCAAUAUUGAACUCUAUAUAUCCCUGUGUGACAGAAUUCUCAGAAUCCACUAGAUUCUGGGUUGCUGCUGGGGGCAUACUUGCUAAGGUUUUUGGGGAUGAUAAUCAUGUCUCCCAUUAUUAUACAUUAAUUAGAACUAGACACUAGAAUCCAGCAGAUUAAGAUCAAAAGGUCAGCUCUAUUUCCAGCAAACAUAUAUGGAAAGUACAACUUGGACCUUCACUGCAAUCAGCCUUCCUUAUAACCCCCACCUAGUUGAACUUAUCUGACAUAGUCAGAUACAGAGAAGCAGGAUGCUUGAAUCUACACCAGUGUGCAAGGUUUUGAGGGUAAGAGUCACUGCUAUUGCCAUAUAAAGGCUUCACCACUAGUAGACAGGUUUUCCUGAAAGAGAAAGGAAAAACACCUAGUUUCUCUUUCCUCAAACUCACCCAUCCAAGAAGACAGCCCUUCUCUUCUGGUGGCCAACUUGCCACCCACUCCCACUAUUUUCUCUCUUUCAAACACAUCCCCAAUGUUACUUAUAGAAGACCCCUCUUCCACGUUGCCCAAAUGUUGGAAGGUGACCCUAUUCUCAACUCAAGCCAAUCGUAGUACCUCUAAUCCCCUUGCAAGUGAUUGGUUCUAGAGUUCAGCUUUCAGCACAGCAUUAUUAUAGAAUGCUAUAGAAUGCACAGCAUUAUUCUAGAUCCUGCAAUUGGACCAGGGAUGGGCACAUGAUACAAACUAGCCUAAUUAGACUGAAUAAGAAGUUUGCUUGAACAGUUGGAAAAGAGAUUUUCUAAUGAGGAAGCAUUUUGUUCAAGGACUGAGAGUAGCCAUCUUCUAACUGCAGAAGAGUCAGUCUGAAGAAAAAAGCCUUCCCUUAGAGGCUGAGAAGAGGCAAAGAAGAGCAGAGAAAUAGAUUUCCAGCUCUAAUUAUAACAGAUGAUAAAACUAAAGCACAGAGAAUUUCUAUAUCUUGCCAAGAUCAGACAGCUCUAAGUGAUGGAGGAAAAAUUCAACCUCAGAUAGAUUAUAGCAACACCUGCAAAAACUUCAGUAAACCUAAGGAAAGAAGGUGACUCGAAUGGAUCUAUAAGUCCCUAAAGAGGAGGUCUCCAAAAUGACAUUUUUAUUGAGCACAUCCUAUCAAAUAACAGCACGUGCACGGGGUACAUCUGUCAGAAUUGGACGUUUUCAUCCCCAGUUAGCUUGCUGGUGGUCAAAUUAUGCUUCCUUGGCCCUCCUCAGUCUUUUGCAGAUUCUUAAUUCCAGUUGAACUAAGAAAGCAGGGCCACCGCGGGCCAGGACAACUCCCUGGGGACUGUUAUUCAUUCAUAUUCAUUGAGUCAACAACUACUCAUUGAGUACGGAACAUGUGUCAAGCACUGUUCUAGGUGCCAGAAGGAUGUAACAACACUAGAGCUGAUGCAGUUGUCUUAGAGCUUCCAUUCAAUGGGGAAAGCCUGACAUUAAACAAUAAAACAUGCACACCAUUUUUUUUUAACUACAACUGUGAUAAAUAUCUGAAGGAGCACAGUGUGCAAAAAGAGAGGUUAACAUGAGAGUGGCUGACCUCACAAGGCCUGUAAGAGAGGGGGACUUCUUUGAGGAAGUGAGUGGGAGUUAGCUAUGUGCCAGAGAAAGUUGGGAUCAUGCUGGGUAUCGCAGGCAAAAAGUCCCUGACUUGGGAAAAAGAUGGCUGGGCACAGAAAUUGGAAGACUAAUGUGGCUAGAGCCCAGAGGGCAAGCCAGAAUGCAGCGGGAGAUUGGUCAGGAGGGGAACUUCUAUAAGGUGUCUGUUCUGUAGGCUUUUGCCUUCUGUCUCCAAGGCAACAGUGAGGAGGGGGAUCUUGGAGGGGGGGUUAGUUACAGGAUUUAAUAAGAGAAGUGACUUAUGAGGUUUGUAGUGUCAAGAAAGAGUUUUAGGGGCAAGACACUGAUCCAGGGAAACCAGUUAAUAAGCUAUAGCAAAAGUCAACAUGAAAAGUUCUCAAAUUUUAAUGAAUUGCCUGGGAAUCCUGUUACAAUGCAGAUUCUGAUCCAGGAGUGAUCUGGGGUGGGGCCUAAGAUUUGCAUUUAUAACCCAGGUGCACAGGUGCUGGUCUGGAGAUAUACCACAAAGUUUCUACUAGCAGUUUUAUUAUUUUAAAGUUUAUUUAUUUAUUUUGAGAGAGGUAUAGAGCUCUCAAGA
Molecule: long non-coding RNA, 5528 nt
Organism: Felis catus (domestic cat)
Lineage: Eukaryota; Metazoa; Chordata; Mammalia; Carnivora; Felidae
Exons: 4
Source: RefSeq, a predicted model, not a curated record